GGAUCCGGCGGUGGUCGUUGACGCACGGACGUAACAAAGGGGACGGGAUCCGGCGGCGCAAAUCCUUUGGAAAAAUCAACACGGGCACUCACUCGGGCAGUGGAGCGUUGGAGACAAAGGGAGUCCGAGGAGCCACAGCGUUCCGAUGGGCAGUCGUUGACGCACAUACGAGAAAGAUGGGAUCCGACGGCGGCGGGUCCAGAUCUGUUCUGGGACAGGGGCGCCGAAGACUUAGGGUGCGUUUGGUUUCUUAGCAAAAGUCGUUUUUGCCUUGCUAGGCUAGGCUUGCCCUUUGGUAGUGCAAAUAUAUCCUAGAUUUUGGAGGCAGCUAGCCUUGCUCGGCUAGAAAAUCCUCGCUCGCGGGGAGAGCCGAUUCGGCUCGCCCUCGACGGCAAAGCCGGAACGCGCGAAAAAAUCUAGGCGGAACUCUCCGGGUGGAUAAGUCCGUCUGCAACAAAUCCCUAAAUCUACGUUCUCCACUCCGACCUCCUCCUCCACUUUCCCCUCCGAUUUUUGCUCAUCCCAAUGAAAUCCUCCGAAGCUGCAGAGAUAAAUCGAGCGAGUUGGCUCAAGUUGCUUUCCACGAUUAGCUGAAGGCGCAUCAGAUUUGACAGGGAAAGCUUACAUCCGCUUUGCUCAAGUCUGCGUCCUCCCCCAUCCGCCUUGCUCAGGUAACAACAUGGUGUGGCAGCCCCAAGUUGUAGAUGAAAUGCUACGUUACUACAAAGAGAAGAUUCAGUCUGAGGGAAAACAAUUUGUCUUCAAAGAGACACAUCAUGAGGAGUGUGCAAAACAAAUCAAUGCAAAGUUUACCACCGCCUUCACACAAAGGCAAGUUUAUCACAAGUUCCAUAAGCUGAAAGGUCAAUGAAAGAUCAUACUAGAGGCGAAGAACUUAAGUGGUGCCAAUUUUGAUGAUGUCAACAAGAUAAUAUUAUAUGAUGAAACUGAAGUUGUUCGGAUGAAGAACAACAAAGACAAAAGGGCAAAAUAUAUCAAUGUGCCUAUUGCCAACCAGGGGCGGAGCUAGAAAAUUUGGCCAUUGGGUUCACUCCAUGACUUGUUGUGAGAACUUGGUACUAAUAUGUGACGUGCAAAAUCUAAUUUUAAAUUAUCCUACAACAAAAUUAUUGCACCCAAAAAUAUAUAAUGAAUAAAAAAAUGGUGCAUUAAAAACUAAAAAGUGCAAGACAUACCGGUUCAAUAAAAUUAUAAAAUCACGUAUUUACAUACUAUAAAUAGAGUAGUAUGAAAUAACUUUGUAGCUCCAGCUAUAGCUUAUAUCUUCCUAGAACAUUGGAAA
Triticum dicoccoides is the source of this 1303-nucleotide long non-coding RNA. RefSeq lists it as uncharacterized. The record is from RefSeq and is a predicted model, not a curated record. Lineage: Eukaryota; Viridiplantae; Streptophyta; Magnoliopsida; Poales; Poaceae. The transcript has 3 exons.